UUGCGCUCGUCUUAAGCUUUUGUUCAUCUGUUUCCAAGCGCGCGCCGGAGAGCAGGAGCCAUUGCGAAUCGACACAGCGGUUCAGCAGCAGCAGCAGCCAGUCGUGUGCCUCCUAUUACCUCUUGAAGAAAGUGGAUACUAAAACAGUUUCGCCGUCGGACGUUUGGUGUUUAAAUCCUCUUUAACUCACAAACUCAACAUGGAGAACGAGAACAAAUACCUUCCGCAGCUGCUGGCGGAACGCGACAGCCUGGACGCGUCGUUCACGCACGCCUUGAAACUUAUAACAGCAGAAAUCGAGAGGGUUGAGAAAGGAGAGGCGGAGAAAGAUACAGACAGCUACCUGGACCUCUUCACCCAGAAAAACAUCAAACUGAAGGAAAGGAUUCUCAUACCAGUCAAACAGUACCCCAAGUUUAACUUUGUUGGGAAGAUCCUCGGACCGCAGGGGAACACAAUCAAGAGACUGCAGGAGGAGACUGGCGCUAAGAUCUCUGUGCUGGGGAAAGGAUCCAUGAGGGACAAAACCAAGGAGGAGGUCUUGAGGAAGGGUGGUGAACCAAAGUAUGCACACUUGUCCAUGGAGCUUCAUGUGUUUAUCGAGGUGUUUGCUCCUGUUCCUGAGGCAUAUGUGCGCAUGGCUCAUGCCAUGGAGGAGAUCAAAAAGUUCUUGUUCCCUGACAUGAUGGAUGAGAUUUGCCAGGAGCAGUUCAUGGAGAUGAAGUUUCUAAAUGGCGGUCAGGAACAUGGAGGCAGAGGCCGAGGAGGGCCACCCAUCAGAGGCCGUGGAGGUCUUCCUCCUCCUGGAGUACCCAGGGGUCGUGGUAUGCCCCCACGUGGUGGCCGUGGUGGACCUCCUCGAGGUGGAGCCACAAGGGGAGCUCCUGCAGGUAGAGGUGGACCAUCAUCCCAGCCGCCCAGAGGAGCAGCUUCCAACCGCGCCCGUCCACCCGCCCCUGCAUCUCAGCGGAUGCCCCCUCCACACCCUCCAACCCAAGAUUCAUACGAAGAUUAUUCGUAUGAUGAGAGCUACACAGAUGCAGGCUAUGAAUCCUAUGACAGCUACUACAGUCAGCCACAAGCAGAACCAGAAUACUAUGACUACGGACAUGGAGAGACACAAGAGGGAUAUGAAAACUACGCUCAAAAUGACUGGAACGGGACACAGCACUCUGCUGCCGGUGGAAAAGCUCCCCCUCAGAGACAGACUAAGCCUGGGUUAAGGGAGCACCCCUAUGGACGAUACUAAAUCUGACUAGUGGAACGUCACCCAACGCAUCGCCAUGACAACUGUUUCCCAUGGCAGCUCACGCUUUAAGCUACCCGACAAAAGUUGUGAUGCCUGGAAAUUCCUGGAAAUGCAAAGUUUAAUUGAGAAUGUCAGACCUCUCCUCAGGAAAAGACAAGUGUUUGUUUGCAGUGUAAGAACAAUCUUACUUCUGAACACCAGCUGCCUUUAAGGAACCAUCUGUGGACAGUCUGACCGAACAGCUUCUGAACUGGGUGGAAUGGCAGAAAUCGAUGGUCCUGUCGACUAAAGUUUGAACCAGCAACCUCUUAAUGGGUUAAAGCUGAAAAGUCUUGAGUUCUUGGUGGUGUUUAUAUUGGCUCUCCAGUUGUAAUGCAAGGUUAUUUUCUCUGUGCUGAAAGUUUCUCUUUUCUGUUCACCUCAUCCAGUGCUUUCUAAGCACGCUUUACUUUAAAUGGACUACUUCUGUUCAUGUUGGCUAUGAAAUUAUUUUAACAAGCUCAAAAAUUCUGUCCAGGCUCUCCAGACGUCUACUUCAGACAAUACUCCAGUGCUUUAUUCUGCAAGACAAGCAUGUCUUCCUUGCUCGGAGGAACGUACAUGCUAAUUUAGAGCUGUCCAGCCCCUAUCUCUUUGCACAGACUUUGUCCUUUAAUUGCCAUGGUAAUUUUCAUCGUGCUUUUGAGUAGAUGUGUUUGAAUGGGUUUAUGCUGGUGGAGCUCUAAUGUUUUUACCUUCUGGAUAAAGGUUUUUCUUGCCUUAAUUGAGAGCUUUCCAUAAAUUCUGCUUUUCUAAUCCUCGCUGUAUUUGUGUCACUGUUAGUGUACAUUGCUGUUGCUUCCAUCUUUUGCUCCUUCCCUCCCUCCCUCCAGUGCACAUUGGAUUUGAGCCUGUCACUUUGACCAAUUACCAUCGCUGACAGUGUGUCCGUCCCCCCGUGGAGCCGCCACUGGUUGCCGACUGGCUAACAGGACUAAUGCCUUAUUGCAUUAGAGACAAAUCAGUCCUCGGCACAGAUUUUAAUAAGCAUAUGCCACCGCUCAAGUGCCAUCGAGCAAUUGGAAAUGGGUGUGUGUGGGUAGGUGGUGGACCGAUCCGUAUGCAGGCUUCACCGUAAUGAGAAAUCGCAAAAGCAGAUAAUGGAAAUAUUUAAUUCAUUUCCCAGACAGAUACUAGGGGGUAAAGAAAACUAGUCUUAAGCAGGAGGAAAUAUUCAAACCCACUGUGUGCACUUAAUGGGUCUUUGUUUACAUGGUCAUAUCUAUUUAUGUCAGACAUGUAUGGCUUACAGCUGCUGGGGAAAUGCCUCUGGGGUAAUGUGCAAGGAAUGUGUGGUGGUCUCAAGCCGGGGCAUUGUGGCUUGGCAGCUCUUUCCUCUUAACACAUUGUGCAUGCUGAAAACAGGAAGCAUGGCUUUGCGAAUGCAAAUGAAACGCUCACACCACUGACUGUCUGUCUUCCUGCAUGGCUAUUUUGCUAGUUUCACACCUAACCAGUACACACUCCAGGGAGUCAGGGUUUUGAGUGCACGGGGAGGAGUUGUGACUGUUUCUGGCUCACCUCCUGGAGAGCCAUGGCUGCUGGCCACCUCCUUCAGUGUGAAAAGCUGGUAAUAUCUAAGCCUCCUAAAGGUCUCUCUCAUUGUGCUGUGAUGAAAAUGAAUUGAAUCCAUCCAUGUGGAAUCUGGCUUGAGUAAUCCGUAGCCCUCCAGGACUGAGAGUUGGACACCUCCACCUUGGUUUUCACUGAAGUAACAUUCCAUUGCAUGUUUUCCAACAUCCACAUAAGCAGACGCACAUAACACAAUGUCGGGAAACAAUGGGAAUUGCUUGGGAUUAGUGAUGAAAUACAAAUGCCAGGAGUCUGUAUUCUUUUGUUUCCCAAAGAGAUUGAUUGAGCCUGUAUUUACAAUUCAGCUAAACUGGAUUUGAGCUUACUAAAGUGCCUAGUUGUUGGCCUUAUCUCAGUAGAAGCAAACUAAACCUGUGGGGUCAGAGAAACCAUUCAGUGACUUUUUCAGAAUUUUUCUUUACAUUUGAAAGUCAUUCAAACUUGUUUGGAAGUUGGUGCAACCAAGAGCACACACACUCAGCCUGCAUAUUAUGUAUGACUACAAAGAGAAUACUUAAAUUCACAGAUGUUUUUACCUGUUUUGUCAAAAAUAAAAAAAAUAAUUCAUGAA
This is an RNA transcript of Cyprinus carpio (common carp), 3431 nucleotides long. It is a transcript of the gene named KH domain-containing, RNA-binding, signal transduction-associated protein 1-like, with no coding region annotated. The record is from RefSeq and is a predicted model, not a curated record. NCBI's taxonomy places the organism in Eukaryota, Metazoa, Chordata, Actinopteri, Cypriniformes, Cyprinidae.